CAGAGAGCAUUGUUGGUGCAUUGAAGCCAUGUGGAAACGCUAGGUGGAGUGCCAACAAGUGAGGAUGCAGACAUGAGUAGCGAUAAGCCGGGUUGAUUUCCCGGCCGCCGUAAAACCAAGGUUUCCUGGGGGAGGUUCGUCCUCCCAGGGUUAGUCGGGACCUAAGGCGAGGCCGAGAGGCGUAGUCGAUGGACAGCAGGUUUAAUAUUCCUGCACCGGCAAUGGUUAAGCUUACAGAGGACAUAUGGUAGGAGAAGGGCCGCCGAUUGAAAGUGGCGGUUUCGCAAGAUGACGUGGAGGCUUCGGCCGAAGCGGAUUCUUCAAAUACUGUAUCGAGAAAAUUCUGUAAGUGUUCCCAUGGCCGCCCGUACCGGAAACCGACACAGGUGGUUGGGCACGAAUGUGCCAAGGCGCGUGAGUGAAACCUCGUUAAGGAACUCAGCAAUCUAGCCCCGUAACUUCGGAAGAAGGGGUCCCUUCAGCAAUGAAGGGCGCAGUGAGUAGGGUCAACCGACUGUUUAACAAAAACACAGCACUCUGCUAAGACGCAAGUCGACGUAUAGGGUGUGACACGUGACCAAUGCGGAAAGAUUACGGUAAGUGGUUAGCCGCAAGGCGAAGCUCCGAGCCCAAGUCCCCGUGAAUGUCGGCCGUAACUAUAACGGUCCUAAGGUAGCGAAAUUCCUUGUCGGGUAAGUUCCGACCUGCACGAAUCGUGUAACGAGUUGACCGCUGUCUCAACGAGGAGCUCAGCGAAGUUGUAAUGGCGGUGAAGAUGCCGCCUGCCCGCAGUAGGACGGAAAGACCCUAUGCACCUUUACUGUACGCUGUCACUGGUUUUUCGGUUGUGAUGCUUAGUGUAAGUGGGAGACUUUGAUUCGAAUCUUUCGGGGUUCGAUGAGUCGUCAAUGAAACACCACCCUUCAGAAUUGGAAAAUCUAACUUCGGCCCAUUAUCUGGGCGAAGGACCCUGGCAGCCGGUCAGUUUGACUGGGGCGGUCUCCUCCCAAAGAGUAACGGAGGAGUGCGAAGGUUGGCUCAGCCCGGUUGAUAAUCGGGUGACGAGUACAUGGAUAUAAGCCAGCUUAACUGCUAGACACACAGGUCGAGCAGUGACGAAAGUCGGCCCAAGUGAUCCGGUGGUUGAAUGUGGAAUUGCCAUCGCUCAACGGACAAAAGGUACGCUAGGGAUAACAGGCUGAUCAUGCCCAAGAGCUCAUAUCGACGGCAUGGUUUGGCACCUCGAUGUCGGCUCAUCACAUCCUGGGGCUGGAGAAGGUCCCAAGGGUCCGGCUGUUCGCCGGUUAAAGUGGUACGCGAGCUGGGUUCAGAACGUCGCGAGACAGUUCGGUCCUUAUCCACUGUGGGCGCAGGAGAAUUGAGGGGUUCACUUUCUAGUACGAGAGGACCGAGAGUGACGAACCUCUGGUGUUCCGGUUGUCGUGUCAACGGCAUUGCCGGGCAGCUAUGUUCGGAAAGGAUAAGCGCUGAAAGCAUCUAAGCGCCAAGCCUCUCCCAAGAUGAGUUCUCCCUGAAGAUCCGUGGUAGACCACCACGUUGAUAGGUUGCAGGUACAAGCACGGUAACGUGUUCAGCUCAGCAAUACUAAUGAUCGUUCGGCUAAA
This 1625-nucleotide ribosomal RNA is filed under the name metagenome. RNAcentral's name for it is "bacterial LSU rRNA". It matches the Rfam family "Bacterial large subunit ribosomal RNA", at positions 1230 to 2925 of the family's 2925-position model. The record is from RNAcentral.